AGUGAACGCUGGCGGUAGGCCUAACACAUGCAAGUCGAACGGCAGCACAGUAAGAGCUUGCUCUUACGGGUGGCGAGUGGCGGACGGGUGAGGAAUACAUCGGAAUCUACUUUUUCGUGGGGGAUAACGUAGGGAAACUUACGCUAAUACCGCACACGACCUACGGGUGAAAGCAGGGGAUCUUCGGACCUUGCGCGAUUGAAUGAGCCGAUGUCGGAUUAGCUAGUUGGCGGGGUAAAGGCCCACCAAGGCGACGAUCCGUAGCUGGUCUGAGAGGAUGAUCAGCCACACUGGAACUGAGACACAGUCCAGACUCCUACGGGAGGCAGCAGUGGGGAAUAUUGGACAAUGGGCGCAAGCCUGAUCCAGCCAUACCGCGUGGGUGAAGAAGGCCUUCGGGUUGUAAAGCCCUUUUGUUGGGAAAGAAAAGCAGCAGGUUAAUACCCCGCUGUUCUGACGGUACCCAAAGAAUAAGCACCGGCUAACUUCGUG
This 492-nucleotide ribosomal RNA is filed under the name uncultured bacterium. Its description in RNAcentral is "partial 16S ribosomal RNA". It matches the Rfam family "Bacterial small subunit ribosomal RNA", at positions 29 to 507 of the family's 1533-position model. The record is from RNAcentral.